UGAAAAUGGAGUGGGGGAGAAAAGAGCUGGAGAGCAAGGAGGCAUUAGUAAAAUGGGCACGAAGAACUGGCUGCAGAGUGAAAGCGAAUUCUGCAAUCCAUCCUUGGAGAGAAAGGUCCACAUGCCCUGAGAAUGAACAACAUUAGCCUGGACAUCCCAAGGGACAAGGUUGAACUAAGCCAACAGAAGACAUCAGCAGGAGAGAGCUAAAAUAAAGACCACUGCAGGGAGGUGUGUAUUCUAGCCCUUGCCUCCCUGGAGGAUGUCAUCUCUGAGUCCAAGUCCUCUUACAUUAUUUCUUGAAUCACAAAUACCAAUGAGACCUCUGUGUCUCUGGCUAACUCUGGAACUGGCGUGGUGGCAAGGGAGGUUCUGAGGAGUGGUCACUGGAACCCAAAGAAGUUGGCAAGGCAAUAUUUCCAUGCGAUAGGGGAAGUGAAGUCACUUGAGCAUUUUCCUCCUUUUCAUCCAUGCAAAUCUAUGCUUUCCAGAACAGCCCAUGAGGAGGUUCUCCUACAUUCUGAGAGCCCUUGAUGGGCCAGGACUCCCUCUGUUCUCCAGAAAAUUCUAGGUUUGGGGCCAUGACAGGUGUUACUGGAGGAGAAAAUAACUGCAGGUUCCCCACCUGAGACUUAGCUCCUGGGGCUAAAUAAAGAGAAGUCUUUCUAGUGGUCACAAAUUCUAGGGUCAUCUUGAGGUCUCACUUCUCUCUCAUUAAAGCCCUCUUCAGGCAUUACUUUUUGUAUCCAUGGAGGGGCAGCGGGGCCACUGUUAUAACCCUGGAGUCUAGUAGGAACCCAGACACUAAGGUGGAGGCUACAGUGUCACCAGCUGAAGAGCUGGAUAAGCUUCCCAGUUCUAGA
This is a long non-coding RNA of Rhineura floridana, 863 nucleotides long. RefSeq lists it as uncharacterized. The transcript has 3 exons. Lineage: Eukaryota; Metazoa; Chordata; Lepidosauria; Squamata; Rhineuridae. The record is from RefSeq and is a predicted model, not a curated record.